ACACAGCCUGGCUACACUGCCCUAGCAGCCCAGAAGCACCUUGUGUGUUUCUUCUCCUGAAGCAAUGAAACAAGGUAAUAUAAUUGCUUUUAGAAUCUUCACCAUUAUUCCUACCUUUGCUCACUGAAAGAACAGUUUCCUCUAGCACCAGCUGCCACGCCGUGCUCUCCAUGUACCAUCAUCUGGACACACAGAGCAACUUCAGGGAUACACAGUAUAAAUCCAUCCUGGAAGAGACCACUAAUCCGUCCCUCAGAUGCAAAGUAGCAGUAAUAUUACUGAACACGGUGUCAAUCUGAUGUUGAGACUAAGCAAACCGGAGUUACACUUUUGGGACUGGUAAAAUAAGACAUUCUUCUUGGAAGUCUUUACUUCAAAUAGGCCUGAAGGAUGAAAGUGUGUAUCAGCACCCUCACACAGAUAUCAGAGUCCUUUCAAGGUGUGACAGCACUAUGAAUUCCCCUUUCUCCCCAUCAUGCUUUAUCGGAGGCUAAGCAUACGACUUAUCUGCGACAUUGGACCGCUUUCUCCAGCUACUCUGCUCCCCUUCCAUGGAACAGGAUAGAGUGUAAAGACAGAAAUUUACCACUGUGACUCUUCUGAUCUUAUACACAUCUUGGGCUCAGUAGGUCUCCUGAAAGUGAUAAAAGCUCCACCUUUAAGAAAAACACCACGGAAUUAAGUUACCUGUGAAGGAGAAACCACCUCAGCCUCGGCUGAUUGUUCCAGGGAUUAUUGCACUCGCUAAUGAAGAGCAUUCUGCUGUCAAAUAUCUGUCCUGAUUCAGGUGGUGGCAAGUAGAGAGCAGUCUACUUCUCAACCUUCUUUCCCGUGAGCCGGACAGAGGUAGGCCUCGGAGCCUUCCCAUUGCACUGCUACCAAUGUUCAUCAGACACAUGUUGGAGCACAUGUUUGCACCCAGCUGAACAAUCAAUCUCCCUACGACCUGACCUCUUUGUUAUCUGCCCCUUAGCCAUUCUCUGGUACUGGUUGCAGAUGUCAUCAGCAAUGUGCCUUUGUUCCACAACAUCAAUAAUGUUCAAUAGAAGCACAGUUUCUG
RNAcentral lists this long non-coding RNA (1060 nucleotides) under Gallus gallus (chicken). Its description in RNAcentral is "lncRNA (ENSGALG00010004475.1)". The record is from RNAcentral. Lineage: Eukaryota; Metazoa; Chordata; Aves; Galliformes; Phasianidae.